This 590-nucleotide ribosomal RNA is filed under the name Brycon opalinus. RNAcentral describes it as "partial 16S ribosomal RNA". It matches the Rfam family "Bacterial large subunit ribosomal RNA", at positions 1808 to 2609 of the family's 2925-position model. Lineage: Eukaryota; Metazoa; Chordata; Actinopteri; Characiformes; Bryconidae. The record is from RNAcentral.
CAAAAACAUCGCCUCCCGCAAAACCGAAGUAUCGGAGGUCCUACCUGCCCACUGACUAUUUGUUCAACGGCCGCGGUAUCUUGACCGUGCUAAGGUAGCGAAAUCACUUGUCUUUUAAAUGGGGACCUGUAUGAAUGGUGGAACGAGGGCUUAACUGUCUCCUUUUUCAAGUCAGUGAAAUUGAUCUGCCCGUGCAGAAGCGGACAUAAAAAUACAAGACGAGAAGACCCUUUGGAGCUUAAGACAUAUGAUCAAUUGUGUUAAAAAUUCUACCAAAAAAAUUAAACUGAGCAAUACUGACUCUGCGUCUUCGGUUGGGGCGACCACGGGGGAAAACAAAGCCCCCACGAAGAAUGGGACCUCUCCCUAAAACCAAGAGAAACAUCUCUAAGUCACAGAACCUCUGACUAAAAGAUCCGGCAUACGCCGAUUAACGAAUCAAGUUACCCUAGGGAUAACAGCGCAAUCCCCUCCAAGAGCCCAUAUCAACGAGGGGGUUUACGACCUCGAUGUUGGAUCAGGACAUCCUAAUGGUGCAGCCGCUAUUGAGGGUUCGUUUGUUCAACGAUUAAAGUCCUACGUGAUCUGAG